RNAcentral lists this ribosomal RNA (254 nucleotides) under uncultured bacterium. Its description in RNAcentral is "partial 16S ribosomal RNA". It matches the Rfam family "Bacterial small subunit ribosomal RNA", at positions 524 to 776 of the family's 1533-position model. The record is from RNAcentral.
UACGGAGGGUGCAAGCGUUAUCCGGAUUUACUGGGUUUAAAGGGUGCGCAGGCGGAUAUGUAAGUCAGUGGUGAAAUCUCUGGGCUUAACCCGGAAAUUGCCAUUGAUACUAUAUAUCUUGAAUGCUGUGGAGGUAAGCGGAAUAUGUCAUGUAGCGGUGAAAUGCUUAGAGAUGACAUAGAACACCUAUUGCGAAGGCAGCUUACUACGCAUAUAUUGACGCUGAGGCACGAAAAGCGUGGGGAGCAAACAGG